GGGGGAUAUUGCACAAUGGAGGAAACUCUGAUGCAGCAACGCCGCGUGAGGGAAGAAGGUCUUCGGAUUGUAAACCUUUGUCCUUGGUGACGAAACAAAUGACGGUAGCCAAGGAGGAAGCUCCGGCUAACUACGUGCCAGCAGCCGCGGAAAUACGUAGGGAGCAAGCGUUGUCCGGAUUUACUGGGUGUAAAGGGUGCGUAGGCGGCUCUGCAAGUCAGGCGUGAAAACUAUGGGCUUAACCCAUAGACUGCGUUUGAAACUGUGGGGCUUGAGUGAAGUAGACGUAGGCGGAAUUCCCGGGGUAGCGGUGAGAUGCGUAGUGAUCGGGAGGAACACCAGUGGCGAAGGCGGCCUACUGGGCUUUAACUGACGCUGAAGCACGAAAGCAUGGGUAGCAAAC
Molecule: ribosomal RNA, 403 nt
Filed under: uncultured bacterium
Lineage: Bacteria
Description: bacterial SSU rRNA
Rfam family: Bacterial small subunit ribosomal RNA
Source: RNAcentral